RNA transcript from Salvia miltiorrhiza (redroot sage), 1315 nucleotides. It is a transcript of the gene named glycine-rich RNA-binding protein 4, mitochondrial, with no coding region annotated. The transcript has 7 exons. The record is from RefSeq and is a predicted model, not a curated record. NCBI's taxonomy places the organism in Eukaryota, Viridiplantae, Streptophyta, Magnoliopsida, Lamiales, Lamiaceae.
GUUAUUUCUUUAAAUCUGUUAUGGUUCUAUGUUCGUUCGGCUGUUUGAUUCGAUGGUUAUUCUAUGGGAAUCGUUCGCUAAAUUUUCCGCUUCUUUCUGGUUGGCGCUGUAAAGAUUGUUCGUCAUCUUUUGAGGGUGUGGACAGAUAGGGACAGACUUUCUCGGGAAAUAAUUCAACUUAAAAUAAAGGAGCACUCGCUUCACCUUUUUUUAUCCUUUCUCGACGAAAGUUGAAUCCUCGCAGAGGAUGCGUUUCUUGCAAAAGAUUCGUCCCGCCCUUACAUAUCCGCUCUGUAGAUGCCUCACACGGCGGCACAUGCAACUAUUCGUCGGAGGACUCUCUUAUGAUACCAAUGAAAGUGUGCUUAAGGAUGCGUUCGAGAACUAUGGUGAAAUAGUUGAAGUCAAGGUAAUAUGUGAUCGUGUGAGUGGAAAAUCAAGAGGAUAUGGAUUUGUGCGCUACUCUUCUGAAGCAGCAGCAAACAAAGCCCUGAAAGAAAUGGACGGUCUGUUGCUAGAUGGUAGGAACAUCCGAAUUCACUAUGCUCACAGAGGGGGAAGCAAGGAAGUCAGGACCGCGCUUUAAUAGAUGCCAGCACCAUGCUACUGGUAACUUGCUCAUUUUGAGAUCAGGUUUUCCUUGCACAUCCUUUUGAAUUCAGACUUGGUUUGUUCGAGAUUACGAUGUAGAAUGAUGUCAUGCUACUGGUAACUUGCUCAUUUUGAGAUCAGGUUUUCCUUGCACAUCCUUUUGAACUCAGACUUGGUUUGUUCGAGAUUACGAUGUAGAAUGAUGUUAGACUGAAGGGUUCAUUGAGGAAGCUCAAGUGUUCACAGAAUGAAAAAGAGAACACUGUAUUAACCCAAAUAUUAGAAAAUGAAGUAUUAGCAAAUCAUGGUUUAAAGGGAUCUGUUGGAAGUAAUCUUUACCAGUUGUAAAGGGAACACAAAUACAAUUUGCUAGGGGGUGGCAGUUUGGAUCUAUCGCAACAGAAGUUUGAACAUUGAGGAGAGGAUGAAUGUUCUUCAACAUCUAUAGAAGACUGUCUGAAACUCCCAACACUCUGAUGUUCCUCUCUUAUGAAGUCAAAAAAGAAGAUUUAGUCGUUUGGUUUCAGCCUCUUGCUUCAAGACCUUCCCUUCUCUGUAAUUAUGUUGAAAUUUGUUUGAUCUCUUUUUACUAUUUUCAGUGUUAGUGUUACAACUCAUUAAACUCAAUAUCUAAGUGUAGGAAUUGCACAUGUGUUUGUGGCAGUCAUGACUGAAAUGUUUGUUUUACUGGAACAUGGAUACACUCCUUGGCCGGCUUCUUCAA